Non-coding RNA from Drosophila suzukii, 583 nucleotides. Lineage: Eukaryota; Metazoa; Arthropoda; Insecta; Diptera; Drosophilidae. The record is from RefSeq and is a predicted model, not a curated record.
UAACCGUUAUGUUCUCCUCGAGCGACAAUCACGAACUGACUUGAUGUAGAGCGGCAUUGAGCGGAUCGAGGGAGACGCCAUGUGCCUUUAAUGAUAAAAGCUUUCUACCGGAAUGAGCAUCUUUCGAAGAACCUGCUAUCGUAUACAGAAAUAAGCCAAUUUCAGUGCUCUUAUUGCAAGCUUUCAAGGCGACACUUGAUAGAACACGGAACACUUUCAAGCUAAAACCAGCCUUGGGAGGCAUCUUCAAAUCCACACUGGCCUUUCAAGCAGAACUGGAGUCAUAAGAAGCAUAUGCUAGUAUCUAAUAAUCAUCUUACGCGACACAUGCUAACAGGAUCGUAAAAAGGAUUAGUAUUUACAUCUGAACGGGUCGUGUGCCUAAAAAAGGUUGCGGGUCAUAAAAAGAUUUCGUAAAGGGAAAAGUACCAUUUAAGGUAUGAAACCUGAAGAACGUCACGCCUAUUAAAAUCAGUUGCAAAAUUACUCUUUACCUAUUUACACCUCCGCUUAUUGUCAUAUUAAGUAACCAAAAGUUGUCCAAUGUCCAAAGUCCUUUACUGCCAGUUCAAGUCGUCAAUCA